UAUUGCACAAUGGGCGCAAGCCUGAUGCAGCCAUGCCGCGUGUAUGAAGAAGGCCUUCGGGUUGUAAAGUACUUUCAGUUGUGAGGAAGGGUGUGUAGUUAAUAGCUGCACAUCUUGACGUUAGCAACAGAAGAAGCACCGGCUAACUCCGUGCCAGCAGCCGCGGUAAUACGGAGGGUGCGAGCGUUAAUCGGAAUUACUGGGCGUAAAGCGCAUGCAGGUGGUUCAUUAAGUCAGAUGUGAAAGCCCGGGGCUCAACCUCGGAACUGCAUUUGAAACUGGUGAACUAGAGUACUGUAGAGGGGGGUAGAAUUUCAGGUGUAGCGGUGAAAUGCGUAGAGAUUUGAAGGAAUACCAGUGGCGAAGGCGGCCCCCUGGACAGAUACUGACACUCAGAUCGGA
RNAcentral lists this ribosomal RNA (402 nucleotides) under uncultured bacterium. RNAcentral describes it as "bacterial SSU rRNA". It matches the Rfam family "Bacterial small subunit ribosomal RNA", at positions 362 to 757 of the family's 1533-position model. The record is from RNAcentral.